RNAcentral lists this ribosomal RNA (440 nucleotides) under uncultured Eubacteriaceae bacterium. Its description in RNAcentral is "bacterial SSU rRNA". It matches the Rfam family "Bacterial small subunit ribosomal RNA", at positions 338 to 795 of the family's 1533-position model. Lineage: Bacteria; Bacillati; Bacillota; Clostridia; Eubacteriales; Eubacteriaceae. The record is from RNAcentral.
CCUACGGGAGGCAGCAGUGGGGAAUAUUGCACAAUGGGGGAAACCCUGAUGCAGCAACGCCGCGUGAACGAUGAAGGCCUUUGGGUCGUAAAGUUCUGUUCUAGGUGAUGAAAACUGACAGUAACCUAGGAGAAAGCCCCGGCUAACUCCGUGCCAGCAGCCGCGGUAAUACGGAGGGGGCAAGCGUUAUCCGGAAUUAUUGGGCGUAAAGGGUACGUAGGUGGCCUUUUAAGCGUAGGGUAUAAGGCAAUGGCUCAACCAUUGUUCGCCCUAUGAACUGGAAGGCUUGAGUGCAGGAGAGGAAAGCGGAAUUCCUAGUGUAGCGGUGGAAUGCAUAGAUAUUAGGAGGAACAUCAGCGGCGAAGGCGGCUUUCUGGACUGCAACUGACACUGAGGUACGAAAGCGUGGGGAGCAAACAGGAUUAGAUACCCCAGUAGUC